Molecule: long non-coding RNA, 1282 nt
Filed under: Rhinopithecus bieti (black snub-nosed monkey)
Lineage: Eukaryota; Metazoa; Chordata; Mammalia; Primates; Cercopithecidae
Description: lncRNA (ENSRBIG00000046305.1)
Source: RNAcentral
GGAGAUAAUAAAACAAACUUAUAGAACUUGUUGAAAAAUAAUAGAUAUCCUCACCCUUCCCACUCCAGUGAGCAAGGUGUCUUGCCAAUAGUCAAUUGUUAAUGAAAACAAGCACCCCACUUUUUCCUUGUAUCUGAAUUUCUUUCAGAUUCCACCCAGGUCAUCCAUAUUCUGAUCUGGGAUCAACACUGCUCUCCUCCUAUUCCUACCGUACCAGAAAGGCCAUAUCUUUAGGUCUCAUGCAAGGAUACACUAGUAGAAUGGUUAGAACCUGGAUUUGAUUCCUACUUUUCCCCAUAUUUGUGCUCAGUAUCUUCAGAUACCGCUGGCUUUGCUCCAUCCCUUUGGCAAGACAGCACACCCAGAGCUGGAGUAUGCUGCUCAUUUGGGAAGGGGAGAUGUCCUGGGCCCAGGGUUUGGAAAUGUCUUCUUGGACAAGCUUAAGCCGGUCUGUUGCCACUGGAGAAGAAAUGUAUUCUUGGGUGCCCCAGGCAAAAGAUCAGAUAUCAAAUCAACUGAAGCACUCAGAAGGAAAAACAAACAGGAGUGCAUUUCCAGAUGUGGAGAGAGGAUUGCUUGGGACUCUUCGCAGGUCUUGAGAUUCCAUGUAGGCUGUGAACACUAAGGAGUGUGUGGAGCUUGUGUCUGAACUUCACCUCUCUAAUGAUGACCAUCCCUGAAAUGAAAAGAAAACCGGUGCUAAAUGGAAAUACCUUCUUUCUUUCCCUCCCACAGCUCAUGCAUAUAUCUUCUACACUCAACGAGCAUCUCUAGAGGAGGUGCCAGCUCUCUCAACAAGUAAUUCCUUUUGGCCCCAUCACAGAAGGGAAGUACAAUCAGCAGCAAUGAAGCUUCUUUAUUCCUUGCUAAUUUAGUGCCAGGACACAUGAUAUGCACAGCUUUGUGAGUGGGAGAGUUUCAAAGCAGGAAGCUUGGAUCUGACUUAGGGAGGCUGGUUAUCCACUUAUGAUACUUGACUUAGCAGAAACCAGUCCGCGUGAAAGCUGUUGUGGGGCCCCCUGCUGGCAUUGUGACAUGGAGACACUUCAUCCUCAGUGAACCUACAGUUCUCUCUGGGAAGCUUUAAGUUCAACAGGGCUGUGGACUUGAAGAGGUUCUUGCUGUAGGCUAGGAAAGUAGAUUGUAGUACUACUACUACUGCCAGUACUACCUUUUCUACUGUUUUUGGGUUUCGUGGGCCACUUUGAAACUCUAACCACAGUAUUUUCAACCUUGCAAUGGUAAAAUGCAUUGUAAAUAAAAAUUUUAACUUAAAGAAUAC